RNAcentral lists this ribosomal RNA (253 nucleotides) under uncultured bacterium. Its description in RNAcentral is "partial 16S ribosomal RNA". It matches the Rfam family "Bacterial small subunit ribosomal RNA", at positions 524 to 776 of the family's 1533-position model. The record is from RNAcentral.
GACGUAGGGCGCGAGCGUUGUCCGGAUUUAUUGGGCGUAAAGAGCUCGUAGGCGGCUUGUUGCGUCGACCGUGAAAACCCGGGGCUCAACUUCGGGCUUGCGGUCGAUACGGGCGGGCUAGAGUUCGGUAGGGGAGACUGGAAUUCCUGGUGUAGCGGUGAAAUGCGCAGAGAUCGGGAGGAACACCCGUAGCGAAGGCGGCACUCUGGGCCGGUACUGACGCUGAGGAGCGAAAGCGUGGGGAGCGAACAGG